Molecule: ribosomal RNA, 872 nt
Filed under: Staphylococcus equorum subsp. linens
Lineage: Bacteria; Bacillati; Bacillota; Bacilli; Caryophanales; Staphylococcaceae
Description: bacterial SSU rRNA
Rfam family: Bacterial small subunit ribosomal RNA
Source: RNAcentral
AGCUUGCUCCUUUGAAGUUAGCGGCGGACGGGUGAGUAACACGUGGGUAACCUACCUAUAAGACUGGAAUAACUUCGGGAAACCGGAGCUAAUGCCGGAUAACAUUUGGAACCGCAUGGUUCUAAAGUAAAAGAUGGUUUUGCUAUCACUUAUAGAUGGACCCGCGCCGUAUUAGCUAGUUGGUAAGGUAACGGCUUACCAAGGCAACGAUACGUAGCCGACCUGAGAGGGUGAUCGGCCACACUGGAACUGAGACACGGUCCAGACUCCUACGGGAGGCAGCAGUAGGGAAUCUUCCGCAAUGGACGAAAGUCUGACGGAGCAACGCCGCGUGAGUGAUGAAGGUUUUCGGAUCGUAAAACUCUGUUAUUAGGGAAGAACAAAUGUGUAAGUAACUGUGCACAUCUUGACGGUACCUAAUCAGAAAGCCACGGCUAACUACGUGCCAGCAGCCGCGGUAAUACGUAGGUGGCAAGCGUUAUCCGGAAUUAUUGGGCGUAAAGCGCGCGUAGGCGGUUUCUUAAGUCUGAUGUGAAAGCCCACGGCUCAACCGUGGAGGGUCAUUGGAAACUGGGAAACUUGAGUACAGAAGAGGAAAGUGGAAUUCCAUGUGUAGCGGUGAAAUGCGCAGAGAUAUGGAGGAACACCAGUGGCGAAGGCGACUUUCUGGUCUGUAACUGACGCUGAUGUGCGAAAGCGUGGGGAUCAAACAGGAUUAGAUACCCUGGUAGUCCACGCCGUAAACGAUGAGUGCUAAGUGUUAGGGGGGUUUCCGCCCCUUAGUGCUGCAGCUAACGCAUUAAGCACUCCGCCUGGGGAGUACGACCGCAAGGUUGAAACUCAAAGGAAUUGACGGGGACCCGCACAAGCGG